AACGAACGCUGGCGGAAUGCUUUACACAUGCAAGUCGAACGGCAGCACGGGGCAACCUGGUGGCGAGUGGCGAACGGGUGAGUAAUACAUCGGAACGUGCCCAGUCGUGGGGGAUAACGUAGCGAAAGCUACGCUAAUACCGCAUACGAUCUACGGAUGAAAGCGGGGGACUCGCAAGAGCCUCGCGCGAUUGGAGCGGCCGAUGGCAGAUUAGGUAGUUGGUGGGGUAAAGGCUCACCAAGCCUGCGAUCUGUAGCUGGUCUGAGAGGACGACCAGCCACACUGGAACUGAGACACGGUCCAGACUCCUACGGGAGGCAGCAGUGGGGAAUUUUGGACAAUGGGCGCAAGCCUGAUCCAGCCAUUCCGCGUGCAGGAUGAAGGCC
This 386-nucleotide ribosomal RNA is filed under the name uncultured bacterium. RNAcentral's name for it is "bacterial SSU rRNA". It matches the Rfam family "Bacterial small subunit ribosomal RNA", at positions 29 to 416 of the family's 1533-position model. The record is from RNAcentral.